This 1194-nucleotide long non-coding RNA is filed under the name Citrus maxima (pomelo). Its description in RNAcentral is "long non-coding RNA (CMAX_LNC000835)". The record is from RNAcentral. Lineage: Eukaryota; Viridiplantae; Streptophyta; Magnoliopsida; Sapindales; Rutaceae.
UAGAACGUAAGCUGCAUUGAAAAUCUCCUCUCACGUUUACGUAUGACACUAAAAUUGAAACACCUGUCUUAUCACUUCAACCUCUAUCCUUGUAUCAACGUUUUAUCAUAUUACUUUUAGAGUGCUGCUAGGUAGCGGGAGGAACGAGAGAAUGACGAGAGAAACGGCAUUCUCUCCUGUCGUUUCGCUUCUCGUUCCUCUCGCUAAAGAAUGAAUAAAAAAUAAUAAAGAAAGACUGCUUUUAUCACUUCGUGCAGAGUAAAAUUUUAGCAUUUUGUCUCCAGCCCUCACUCUUCCUCUCUCCCUCACUUUCCUCUCUCCCUCACGCUUCCAGAAGCUCCGUCACGGGUUCCCGCGUGCCUCACGCUUCCAGAUCCCUCACGGCUUCCUUCCGGCGUGCCUCACGCUUCCAGAUCCCUCACGGCUUCCUUCCGGCGUGACUCACGCUUCCAGAUCCCUCACGGCUUCCUUCCGGCGUGCCUCACGCUUCCAGAAGUUCCCUCACGGCUUCCGGCGUGCCUCACGCUUCCAGAUCCCUCACGGCUAAAGUUCUUGAUUACCUUUGCUUCGUACAAAAAGGGAAGGCUUUGCACUAGUAAUUUUUUUUUUUCUCGGCUAAAGUUCUUUAACGAAGGGGAAGGCUUUGCACUAGUAGUUUUUUUUCUCGGCUUUGCACUAGCAAAGACAUUCUCUCGAUCAUUUCUCACCUUAUGUAACCGGCCCCUCUCUCUCCCUAAUCCUCUAAAGUUAUUCAUAUUUCCUAAAUUCCAUUUUUCUCUUUUCUUCCCCAUUUUUUUUUUCUAUGUAUGUAUCUCUGAAUAUGCUGAAUUACUGGAUAUUAUGAAUUACUUGACCACUUUCGAUCUCCGGAUGGACCUAUUUUUUUGAGGAUUUGUGGUGAAUAUACUUGCGAUGGCAUACCAAAUGAUUAUCUUGGUGUAAGUUUUAAUUGUAUCCUUAACUAAUAUAAUUAAAAAAAAAAAAAAGAACAUUCAUGGUUAUUGUUGAGUGGCUAGAAUAAUUUGAGGAAUAUUUGGACACAUGUAUCAUUGGAUAGGUUCUGGCAAAGAAGUUUGGAGCAGCUGUGGUUUCACUUGAACAUCGUUACUAUGGGAAGAGCUCACCAUUUAAAUCAUUAUCGACAGAAAAUUUGAAAUAUCUUUCAUCUAAGCAGGCACUCUUUGACUUGGCCAU